AUUGAACGCUGGCGGCAGGCCUAACACAUGCAAGUCGAGCGGUAACACAGGGAGCUUGCUCCUGGGUGACGAGCGGCGGACGGGUGAGUAAUGUCUGGGAAACUGCCUGAUGGAGGGGGAUAACUACUGGAAACGGUAGCUAAUACCGCAUAACGUCGCAAGACCAAAGAGGGGGACCUUCGGGCCUCUUGCCAUCAGAUGUGCCCAGAUGGGAUUAGCUAGUAGGUGGGGUAACGGCUCACCUAGGCGACGAUCCCUAGCUGGUCUGAGAGGAUGACCAGCCACACUGGAACUGAGACACGGUCCAGACUCCUACGGGAGGCAGCAGUGGGGAAUAUUGCACAAUGGGCGCAAGCCUGAUGCAGCCAUGCCGCGUGUAUGAAGAAGGCCUUCGGGUUGUAAAGUACUUUCAGCGGGGAGGAAGGCGAUAAGGUUAAUAACCUUGUCGAUUGACGUUACCCGCAGAAGAAGCACCGGCUAACUCCGUGCCAGCCGCCGCGGUAA
RNAcentral lists this ribosomal RNA (504 nucleotides) under uncultured bacterium. RNAcentral describes it as "partial 16S ribosomal RNA". It matches the Rfam family "Bacterial small subunit ribosomal RNA", at positions 30 to 523 of the family's 1533-position model. The record is from RNAcentral.